AGAUGUGAGGGUGACCUGCAUGUGACAUCUGUCACCUAAUUGAUGGCCAAGGUUAAUUCAACUGACAGAGCUGGUUAGGUAGGUGUUCCCUUCCUCCCACACCACUCCAUGUGUGCCCCUUCCAAAGCUGGGGCCUUGGUCCUCUUUGUCUAUGUAGGUGUACAAGGUAUACAAGUAGCAGAAGGUAUACAAGUAGCAGGUAUACCAUUGAAGGUAUACAAGUAGCAGAACUCCCAGCUAGAAUCUCCAAAAAGCUCUCAAAAUUGGAGGACUCAAACUUCCUGAUAUCAAAACUUAUGACAAAGCUACAGUAAUCACUAUAGUGU
This 326-nucleotide small nuclear RNA is filed under the name Pongo abelii (Sumatran orangutan). Its description in RNAcentral is "7SK RNA". It matches the Rfam family "7SK RNA". From Rfam's summary of the family: 7SK was discovered as an abundant small nuclear RNA in the mid-70s but a possible function has only recently been suggested. Lineage: Eukaryota; Metazoa; Chordata; Mammalia; Primates; Hominidae. The record is from Rfam by way of RNAcentral.